This is a non-coding RNA of Nicotiana tabacum (common tobacco), 570 nucleotides long. Lineage: Eukaryota; Viridiplantae; Streptophyta; Magnoliopsida; Solanales; Solanaceae. The record is from RefSeq and is a predicted model, not a curated record.
UUAAGGAACACUUCGCUAGUUCUCUUACCCUUAACCUCCCCUUAACCCUUAAGAAUCCAGUGCCCUCCCCUUAGACAGCCCUUCCAGGUCAUUGAUGAUGUGAUUUGGGGGAGUUGAGAUCAACCACUGCUAAUAGGGAACAAAAUAGGGUCACCGAUUCUCUUAUAUUAGAAGCGACAGUUGACCAGCCUAUUUCAUCAACACGUCACUCCAUGUGUUUUGCUCAUGUUAAAACACUAGGAUUCUCCGAAACCAGCCUGUUUUAUCAACACAUCUGCUUCACACUCUAUUUGUUUUGCUCCUGUGAAAACACUAGGAUUCUCCGAAAAAUCCCACCGAUUCUUGACUCCUCUAUCGUUCCGCUAUUGUUACAAUUAGUAUUCGUAGAAGUUCCUCCUAUAUUUACCUACAAUUAGACUAGACGUGCUAGGAGCUACUUUUGCUAGGAAUAUUUUUAUAAAUAUUUCUAAUGACUUCAGCUACUGUUAUUGCAAGACUCUAUGGUACAAGUGACCUAGCUCCAAUGUAAUGAUCCUGUUUAAUUAAUAAGUACUACUAUUUUCGUUUCAA